RNAcentral lists this ribosomal RNA (492 nucleotides) under uncultured bacterium. Its description in RNAcentral is "partial 16S ribosomal RNA". It matches the Rfam family "Bacterial small subunit ribosomal RNA", at positions 29 to 507 of the family's 1533-position model. The record is from RNAcentral.
AGUGAACGCUGGCGGUAGGCCUAACACAUGCAAGUCGAACGGCAGCACAGUAAGAGCUUGCCCUUACGGGUGGCGAGUGGCGGACGGGUGAGGAAUAGAUCGGAAUCUACUUUUUCGUGGGGGAUAACGUAGGGAAACUUACGCUAAUACCGAAUACGACCUACGGGUGAAAGCAGGGGAUCUUCGGACCUUGCGCGAUUGAAUGAGCCGAUGUCGGAUUAGCUAGUUGGCGGGGUAAAGGCCCACCAAGGCGACGAUCCGUAGCCGGUCUGAGAGGAUGAUCAGCCACACUGGAACUGAGACACGGUCCAGACUCCUACGGGAGGCAGCAGUGGGGAAUAUUGGACAAUGGGCGCAAGCCUGAUCCAGCCAUACCGCGUGGGUGAAGAAGGCCUUCGGGUUGUAAAGCCCUUUUGUUGGGAAAGAAAAGCAGCAGGUUAAUACCCCGCUGUUCUGACGGUACCCAAAGAAUAAGCACCGGCUAACUUCGUG